Molecule: unclassified non-coding RNA, 378 nt
Filed under: plant metagenome
Description: partial contains 5.8S ribosomal RNA, internal transcribed spacer 2, and large subunit ribosomal RNA
Rfam family: 5.8S ribosomal RNA (bases 1-105)
Source: RNAcentral
GAAAUGCGAUAAGUAAUGUGAAUUGCAGAAUUCAGGGAAUCAUCGAAUCUUUGAACGAACCUUGCGCUCCUUGGUAUUCCUUGGAGCAUGCCUGUUUGAGUAUCAUGAAAUCUUCAAAGUAAAUCUUUUGUUAACUCAAUUGGUUUCUACUUUGGUAUUGGAGGUCUUUGCAGCUUCACACCUGCUCCUCUUUGUUCAUUAGCUGGAUCUCAGUGUUAUGCUUGGUUCCACUCGGCGUGAUAAGUUAUCUAUCGCUGAGGACACUGUAAAAGGUGGCCAAGGUAAAUGCAGAUGAACCGCUUCUAAUAGUCCAUUGACUUGGACAAUACUUUUAUGAUCUGAUCUCAAAUCAGGUAGGACUACCCGCUGAACUUAAGC